This 445-nucleotide ribosomal RNA is filed under the name uncultured Rothia sp. RNAcentral's name for it is "bacterial SSU rRNA". It matches the Rfam family "Bacterial small subunit ribosomal RNA", at positions 338 to 795 of the family's 1533-position model. Lineage: Bacteria; Bacillati; Actinomycetota; Actinomycetes; Micrococcales; Micrococcaceae. The record is from RNAcentral.
CCUACGGGUGGCAGCAGUGGGGAAUAUUGCACAAUGGGCGCAAGCCUGAUGCAGCGACGCCGCGUGAGGGAUGACGGCCUUCGGGUUGUAAACCUCUGUUAGCAUCGAAGAAGCGAAAGUGACGGUAGGUGCAGAGAAAGCGCCGGCUAACUACGUGCCAGCAGCCGCGGUAAUACGUAGGGCGCGAGCGUUGUCCGGAAUUAUUGGGCGUAAAGAGCUUGUAGGCGGUUGGUCGCGUCUGCUGUGAAAGGCUGGGGCUUAACCCUGGUUUUGCAGUGGGUACGGGCUAACUAGAGUGCAGUAGGGGAGACUGGAAUUCCUGGUGUAGCGGUGGAAUGCGCAGAUAUCAGGAGGAACACCGAUGGCGAAGGCAGGUCUCUGGGUUGUAACUGACGCUGAGAAGCGAAAGCAUGGGGAGCGAACAGGAUUAGAUACCCCUGUAGUC